AUACGUAGGUGGCAAGCGUUGUCCGGAAUUAUUGGGCGUAAAGCGCGCGCAGGUGGUUCCUUAAGUCUGAUGUGAAAGCCCCCGGCUCAACCGGGGAGGGUCAUUGGAAACUGGGGAACUUGAGUGCAGAAGAGGAUAGUGGAAUUCCAAGUGUAGCGGUGAAAUGCGUAGAGAUUUGGAGGAACACCAGUGGCGAAGGCGACUGUCAGGUCUGUAACUGGCACUGAGGCGCGAAAGCGUGGGGAGCAAACAGGAUUAGAUGCCCUGGUAGUCCACGCCGUAAACGAUGAGUGCUAAGUGUUGGGGGGUUUCCGCCCCUCAGUGCUGCAGCUAACGCAUUAAGCACUCCGCCUGGGGAGUACGGUCGCAAGACUGAAACUCAAAGGAAUUGACGGGG
RNAcentral lists this ribosomal RNA (397 nucleotides) under uncultured bacterium. Its description in RNAcentral is "partial 16S ribosomal RNA". It matches the Rfam family "Bacterial small subunit ribosomal RNA", at positions 523 to 918 of the family's 1533-position model. The record is from RNAcentral.